GUACCAGGAGACCGUCAUGGAUAGGAAGCAGUCCUGAGGGAGGAGCCACAGGCCUGAGUCUUCUGUGCCAGUCACCUCAGAUUCCUGUGCCCUCUGCCCUGGCUGCCAGUGGAAUUCCUGGCACCUAUCCCAGCUCUUUCGGGAGCCCACAGUUCCUUACCAGCUGGGGGUCGAUGUCCCCAAUGGAUUUGGCAUGGACUGCUUCUAGGAGUUCCUCCAGCUCUGCCAGGGCCAGGCGCCCCCCUAGCCGCAGUCGAUCAGGCCCCGGUGGCUCCAGCAAGAAGAGGCGCUUCCAAAGGGUGUCCCGACGGCAGUGCCCUCCAGCCAGCCGCACCAGCUGAGCCAGCCGUGCUCGUGCCAUGCCCACCUCUGCAGCCAGUGGUGGGAACAGAGGAGCCGGUCCAGGCGCUAGAAUAAGCCCUGAGGCCUCCCCAGGGCUGCCAGCUGAACUCCCAGGAGCCUCUGGCUCAGGGGGCAGUCUGGGUGGCUUCCGGAAGCGGCGCAUGUCAGCAGUGAGCCUGGGGAAGAGCUCUCGCUGGCUGGGUGCAGCACAGUGACAGACAAGCAGAGACACAUCAAAGUCAUCCUGGUGUCGAAGUCCCUCAGAGUCCAGGUAGGAGCCAGAACUGUGCAGGACGGGUUGGGGAGAUGUCAACUCUGGGGUUCUAAUAAAACAAACCUCACCCCUGCCCAAGAAAA
Molecule: long non-coding RNA, 699 nt
Organism: Homo sapiens (human)
Lineage: Eukaryota; Metazoa; Chordata; Mammalia; Primates; Hominidae
Gene: SZT2-AS1
Product: SZT2 antisense RNA 1
Source: Ensembl